This is an RNA transcript of Phaethon lepturus (White-tailed tropicbird), 1417 nucleotides long. It is a transcript of the gene named bifunctional heparan sulfate N-deacetylase/N-sulfotransferase 2 pseudogene, with no coding region annotated. NCBI's taxonomy places the organism in Eukaryota, Metazoa, Chordata, Aves, Phaethontiformes, Phaethontidae. The transcript has a single exon. The record is from RefSeq and is a predicted model, not a curated record.
CAAAGAGAAGGUGCCAUCAUGUGAAUGCGAAACAGCCAAAUGAGAAACGGGGCACCUGGGAAGGUUGAGCUGAAACUGCUUGUGCACAGGAUGACAGACUGAUUUGCUGUUGGAGACGAGAUUCAGGAAACCCCGCUCCUCCAAAAGACUACCGAGUGAGAGGAGAAGAACAGGAGGAAGCACACAAAAGAGCGAUGGGAAUUGAGGGCCAUGGUUACUUGAGAUAAAUGGCAGAUCCCUGGGAGUCUAGCCUUGUAGCUGUUUGCUUUAGCUUUGUUUCUCUCCGCAGCUGCUCUUUCUUUUUUGCGAGCUGCUGCUGGGUACUGCCACGGCGGCACUGGAGAUUUCAAGAGCGACGUGGGUGCAGAGUGUGAGGAGGGGGUGGGCAGCCCGCCUCACCAUGAUUCAGUUGUGGAAAGUGGUGCGGCACGUGCGACAGCUAGAGCUCCACAGAUUGAUCCUGCUGCUCAUUGCCUUCAGCCUGAUCUCCAUGUGCAUCUUGGCUUACUACGUCACUAACAGUCCCAAAAUCAAGGAGCCACCACCCCUGCCCUUCAGUGACUGCAGCAACCAGCACCGCAUUUUGAUCCCACCGCAAGCCAGCUGGAGGCUCACAAAAUCUGUGGACACCUCACGCACAGAUCCUGUGGUGCUAGUCUUUGUGGAAAGUAUUUACUCGCAGCUGGGGCAGGAAAUAGUGGCCAUCCUGGAAUCUAGCCGGUUUAAAUAUAGGACAGAGAUUGCUCCUGGCAAAGGGGAUAUGCCCACGCUGACAGACAAAGACAGGGGACGCUACGCUCUUAUUAUCUAUGAGAACAUCCUUAAAUAUGUGAACCUAGACGCUUGGAACCGAGAGCUGCUGGACAAAUACUGUGUAGAGUAUGGAGUGGGGAUUAUAGGCUUUUUCAAAGCCAACGAGAACAGCCUACUCAGUGCACAGCUCAAGGGUUUCCCCCUUUUUCUACAUUCCAACUUGGGGCUGCGGGACUAUCACAUCAACCCCAGUGCUCCCCUGCUCUAUGUCACCCGGGCCAAUGAGAUGGAGCAGGGUCCCCUGCCUGGUGAUGACUGGACUGUGUUCCAGUCAAACCACAGCACCUACGAGCCAGUGCUGUUAGCCAGCACGAAGUCCUCGGAGUCCAUUCCUCACCUGGCCACCCACAAAGCAUUGCAUGCCACAGUGGUGCAGGACCUGGGUCUGCAUGACGGGAUCCAGCGCGUUCUCUUUGGCAAUAACCUCAAUUUUUGGCUGCACAAACUCAUUUUCGUGGAUGCCAUUGCCUACUUGACUGGCAAGCGCCUCUGUCUCACACUUGAUCGCUAUGUCCUCGUCGACAUUGAUGAUAUAUUUGUGGGAAAAGAGGGCACUCGCAUGAAAGUGUCUGAUGUAGAGGUAAAAUCCCCAGAACAACUAUAG